GUGGGGAAUUUUGGACAAUGGGCGCAAGCCUGAUCCAGCCAUGCCGCGUGUGUGAAGAAGGUCUUCGGAUUGUAAAGCACUUUAAGUUGGGAGGAAGGGCAGUAAGUUAAUACCUUGCUGUUUUGACGUUACCGACAGAAUAAGCACCGGCUAACUUCGUGCCAGCAGCCGCGGUAAUACGAAGGGUGCAAGCGUUAAUCGGAAUUACUGGGCGUAAAGCGCGCGUAGGUGGUUUUGUAAGUUGGAGGUGAAAUCCCCGGGCUCAACCUGGGAACUGCCUCCAAAACUGCAUGACUAGAGUACGGUAGAGGGUAGUGGAAUUUCCUGUGUAGCGGUGAAAUGCGUAGAUAUAGGAAGGAACACCAGUGGCGAAGGCGACUACCUGGACUGAUACUGACACUGAGGUGCGAAAGCGUGGGGAGCAAACAGGAUUAGAUACCCGUGUAGUCC
This 450-nucleotide ribosomal RNA is filed under the name uncultured bacterium. Its description in RNAcentral is "partial 16S ribosomal RNA". It matches the Rfam family "Bacterial small subunit ribosomal RNA", at positions 354 to 796 of the family's 1533-position model. The record is from RNAcentral.